Molecule: ribosomal RNA, 1878 nt
Filed under: human gut metagenome
Description: bacterial LSU rRNA
Rfam family: Bacterial large subunit ribosomal RNA
Source: RNAcentral
ACCCCGGGAGGGGAGUGAAAGAGAACCUGAAACCAUAUGCCUACAAGAAGUCAGAGCCCGUUAAAGGGUGAUGGCGUGCCUUUUGUAGAAUGAACCGGCGAGUUACUGUAUGGAGCGAGGUUAAGCAGGAUAUGCGGAGCCGAAGCGAAAGCGAGUCUUAAGAGGGCGAGAGUUGCAUGCAGUAGACCCGAAACCGGGUGAUCUAGCCAUGACCAGGUUGAAGUUGGGGUAAAACCCGAUGGAGGACCGAACCGACCCCCGUUGAAACGUUGGCGGAUGAGUUGUGGCUAGGGGUGAAAUUCCAAUCGAACCCGGAGAUAGCUGGUUCUCCCCGAAAUAGCUUUAGGGCUAGCGUCGAGAGAAGUCAUGUGAAGGUAGAGCACUGAAUAUGUGAUGGCCCCAUCUCGGGGUACUGAGCAUAAUCAAACUGCGAAUGUCACGCCAACAUGCUCGGCAGUCAGACAGCGGGUGAUAAGGUCCGUUGUCAAGAGGGAAACAGCCCAGACCAUCAGCUAAGGUCCCAAAAUGUAUGCUAAGUGGAAAAGGAUGUGGAGAUGUACAGACAACUAGGAGGUUGGCUCAGAAGCAGCCAUCCUUUAAAGAGUGCGUAACAGCUCACUAGUCGAAUGACUCUGCGCCGAUAAUUUACCGGGGCUAAGCAUACUACCGAAGCUAUGGAUCCCAAGGGAUGGUAGGGGAGCGUUCCAUGAACGGAGAAGUACGACCGAAAGGACGUGUGGAGAUCAUGGAAGAGAGAAUGCCGGUGUGAGUAGCGGAACGUGGGUGAGAAUCCCACGCACCGAAAACCCAAGGUUUCCAGAGGAAGGUUCGUCCGCUCUGGGUAAGUCGGGACCUAAGGCGAGGCCGAAAGGCGUAGUCGAUGGACAACAGGUAGAGAUUCCUGUACCCGUAUAUAUGUGAAGGAAUGACGGAGAGAGGAAGCUGCAGCCAGCGGCUGGAAGAGCUGGUGCAAGCGAGAUAUCGGGAUGGCAGGCAAAUCCACCAUCCGAAACGAGAAGGCGUGAAGCGUACGGAAAGCUACGGCGAGUACGGAAGGCAGUGGAGGAACUUCCAAGAAAAGUUUCUAACGUAAAGUAUAUAUGGCCCGUACCGAAAAUGGACACACAUGGGUGAGGAGAGAAUCCUAAGGUGAGCGAGAGAACUAUAGCUAAGGAACUCUGCAAAAUGACUCCGUAACUUAGGGAGAAGGAGUGCUCAUAGAGAUAUGAGCCGCAGUGAAACGGCCCAAGCGACUGUUUACCAAAAACACAGCUCUCUGCUAAGCCGCAAGGCGAAGUAUAGGGGGUGACGCCUGCCCGGUGCUGGAAGGUUAAGAGGAGGUGUCAGCGCAAGCGAAGCACUGAAUUGAAGCCCCAGUAAACGGCGGCCGUAACUAUAACGGUCCUAAGGUAGCGAAAUUCCUUGUCAGGUAAGUUCUGACCCGCACGAAAGGCGUAACGAUUUGGGCGCUGUCUCAGCUGUAGACUCGGUGAAGUCUUAGUACCUGUGAAGAUGCAGGUUACCCGCGACUAGACGGAAAGACCCCAUGGAGCUUCACUGCAGGUUGAUAUUGGGAUUUGAUGCAGCAUGUACAGGAUAGGUAGGAGGCAAAGAGAUGGAUACGCCAGUAUUCAAGGAGCCGCUGUUGGGAUACUACCCCUGUUGUAUUGGAUUUCUAACCGGACGACGUAGAGCCGUUGACGGGACAGUGUCAGUCGGGCAGUUUGACUGGGGCGGUCGCCUCCCAAAGAGUAACGGAGGCGCCCAAAGAUACCCUCAGCUUGGAUGGAAACCAAGCGCAGAGUGCAAAGGCAAAAGGGUGUUUGACUGCGAGACCCACAAGUCGAGCAGGGACGAAAGUCGGGCUUAGUGAUCCGG